This 70-nucleotide transfer RNA is filed under the name Gammaproteobacteria bacterium. RNAcentral's name for it is "tRNA-Phe". The record is from RNAcentral. Lineage: Bacteria; Pseudomonadati; Pseudomonadota; Gammaproteobacteria.
UGCUUCACUUUGGUGGAGCAGAGAACUGAAAAUCCUCGUGUCGAUGGUUUGAUUCCACCCCUGAGCACCA